Molecule: transfer RNA, 69 nt
Filed under: Acinetobacter baumannii 1043903
Lineage: Bacteria; Pseudomonadati; Pseudomonadota; Gammaproteobacteria; Moraxellales; Moraxellaceae
Also listed under: 31 other names
Description: partial tRNA-Leu
Source: RNAcentral
GGGGGCGUGGCGAAAUUGGUAGACGCACUGGAUUUAGGUUCCAGCGCCGCAAGGUGUAAGAGUUCGAGU